Long non-coding RNA from Cuculus canorus (common cuckoo), 1042 nucleotides. RefSeq lists it as uncharacterized. NCBI's taxonomy places the organism in Eukaryota, Metazoa, Chordata, Aves, Cuculiformes, Cuculidae. The transcript is spliced from 3 exons. The record is from RefSeq and is a predicted model, not a curated record.
UUCCAUUCUACUGAACUAGACAGGCUGAGAGAGUUGGGGUUGUUGAGCCUGGAGAAGAGAAGACUGCAGGGAGACCUUAGAGCAGCCUUCCAGUACCGAAAGGGGCUCCAAGAAAGCCCACAGGAAGGCAGCGGACACCAACCUGGCAGCCGGACAGAGCGCGUCACUCUGGCUGCUGCGAGGGAGCGUUACGGGCCCCGCACCUUGGGGAUGGAAGCGCUGUUUGCAACGGGGGACGGAGACAGCACACCGGCACAUGGAGCAGCGCGCAGAGAAGCGAUGGAGGAUUCUCGCCUCCCAGGGGCUCUGAGUGGCCUCUGUUCCAGUGACUCCUGCCCCACCGAGCCCCUGAUUCCCUACGGAAAAACCUCCUUGUCAACCCAGUGGUCAUUUCACAGGAUCACAGAAUCACGAGGUUGGAAAAGACCUCCAGGAUCAUCAAGUCCAACCGUUCCUAUCCUAUUUACAAAGGAAUGGGCGAAGACCAGAGUGCGGGGCACCCGCCCUGGAAAAAUCGUUAAGAAGCCACGGCGGGACAAGAACAUCUAUGACUUAGAUGUUCUAAGUCACAGAUUCAUAGAAUACUUUGGGUUGGAAAGGACCUCAAAGCCCAUCCAGUUUCACCCCCUGCCAUGGGCAGGGACACCUCCCACUGGAUCAGGUUGUUCAUAGGUUCAUCCAACCUGGCCUGGAACACCUCCAGGGAUGGGGCAGCCACAGCUUCCCUGGGCAACCUGGGCCAGGGCCUCACCACUCUCAUGGUGAAGAAAUUCCUCCUUAUGUCCAGUCUAAAUCUGCCCCUCUCUGGUUUAUAACCAUUGCCCUUUGUUCUAUUUCUACAACCCUUUGUGAACAGCCCCUCUCCAGCUUUCUUGUAGCCGCUUUCAGGUACUGGAAGGUCACUAUAAGAUCUCCUCUGAGUCUUCUCCUCUCCAGGCUGAACAACCCCAACUCUCACAGCCUGUCCUUGUAUGGGAGAUGCUCCAGCCCUCACAUCAUCCUUGUAGCUUCCUCUGGACCUGCUCCAACAGCUCCAUCUCCU